CUUCCGUAGGGUGAACCUGCGGAAGGAUCAUUACCGAGUGCGGGUCCUUUGGGCCCAACCUCCCAUCCGUGUCUAUUGUACCCUGUUGCUUCGGCGGGCCCGCCGCUUGUCGGCCGCCGGGGGGGCGCCUCUGCCCCCCGGGCCCGUGCCCGCCGGAGACCCCAACACGAACACUGUCUGAAAGCGUGCAGUCUGAGUUGAUUGAAUGCAAUCAGUUAAAACUUUCAACAAUGGAUCUCUUGGUUCCGGCAUCGAUGAAGAACGCAGCGAAAUGCGAUAACUAAUGUGAAUUGCAGAAUUCAGUGAAUCAUCGAGUCUUUGAACGCACAUUGCGCCCCCUGGUAUUCCGGGGGGCAUGCCUGUCCGAGCGUCAUUGCUGCCCUCAAGCCCGGCUUGUGUGUUGGGUCGCCGUCCCCCUCUCCGGGGGGACGGGCCCGAAAGGCAGCGGCGGCACCGCGUCCGAUCCUCGAGCGUAUGGGGCUUUGUCACAUGCUCUGUAGGAUUGGCCGGCGCCUGCCGACGUUUUCCAACCAUUCUUUCCAGGUGACCUCGGAUCAGGUACGAAGCAAGGUU
RNAcentral lists this ribosomal RNA (573 nucleotides) under Aspergillus niger. RNAcentral describes it as "eukaryotic LSU rRNA". The stretch from base 220 to 373 matches the Rfam family "5.8S ribosomal RNA". Lineage: Eukaryota; Fungi; Ascomycota; Eurotiomycetes; Eurotiales; Aspergillaceae. The record is from RNAcentral.